CCAGGAUCCUGGUACCUCCCUUGGAAUUGUGCGCCAGAGCCCAGAAGGAGAAGUCGGAAUAUGGGUGGGGGGCAGAACUGAGAACUUGACCAUCGCGUGGCUCCGGGGGCCGGGGUCAAGCAGAUGAAGGGGGAAGCCGUCUCCCUUCCCUGAUUGCACGCCUCCCAGACCCGUGCUCACAAGCUGUCCCCGCAGCCUCCUCAGCAUAAAUUUGCUUUUCUGCUUAAACUAUCUCAGGGUCAUUCUGUUACGUGCAGCCAAAAGUCCCAACUGAUACACCACCAGGCAACAUAAAAUCUUGUAAUUGCUUCAGACUACUUUUAAAACAGAAACAGAAUUUUCAUUUCCUUCCAGCCAUUAACUUUCCCACAAACCCAACACCAAAAUGUUGAUUACAGGUGCUGUUAGAGGAAAGUCGUCUUUAGCAGAACCAGGUAGGGAUGACUCGGGCCACUGGAGAAGGGCUGUCCUGUCACAGAAUGCAGGCGUGCCAAGCAGUGAGGGACAGAGACCCUGACGGUGGGUGACAAACCGGGAACAGAGCCAACUACCGGCUUGUGUCUGGACGAGAUGCUUCUCGGCUGAAUCUCUGGGGCCCACCUGCCUCUACCUUCCGGCACCUUCCAACCACUGGAAAGUCUACGUGCAUCCUGGGCCCUGCUGACCUCUCAACUGGCCCACCUUGUGUGGUACACAAAAGACUAUCGGGAACGUUGGCUAGCUGGAGUUCCGAUUCAUGUGAAGAUACGACGAACACAGAUACUUGUGCACAAUCCCGGGGGUCCUGGGCCGUCCCCCGAGAGCUGCGUUUUGAUCAGUGUCUCCCUGUGAGGACCGACCGCGAGGGAACGGCUUUCCUCAGUUGCAGCUUGUGUUGGAGGGAGGGUGUCUCCAAAGAUAUUAGGCGUGUGUAUUCAUGAGCCACAAUCGGUUCAAACAUUAAAUGGAAACUUCACAAAUUCUGUCCCCGCUGAUGUGUCCCGGACCAGCUUAGGAAUCGGUACAAGCCCUGCCCUGAAGAGACAGGCAGUUGGAGCCAGCAGGGACAGAAGGUGUCUCCAGUGGAGGAAAUACAGCUCCUGGCAAUGUCCCGCCAGUGUCGUGGGGGCUCCGGGUUCGCGGACGUCCAUCUCUGUCUCCCCUGCACCGUGACCAGAUCUCAGAGCAGCCUGGCUCAAGUUCAGUCGAGGAGAGUGUCUUUGCCAGUGGGUGUGGGGCGUGAGUGUAUGUGUCAUGGGAGCAGAGACUCCCCUGGGUUCCUGGCCCCCCAAGAGGAGGGACAGGGCAUUUCAAACAGUGCUUAUUUUAUUUAAAGCAGGAAAGAAACAUGACGUUUUAUGCAACUCCAGGAUCUUGGAACUGCCAUAUUUAUGACGCAAGGAACCAGCAAACAAGGCUGCCUGGGGCUCAUUUGGCUGUAUAUUUGGUAGCACAUGAGCUGUUUGGGCACAGAAUCCAGGACACCGGGCACCAGUGGGGACAUCAAGUCUGUACCCCGGGCCGCUGUGUUGAGGAGGCAAACACUCCCCCCUUUGCCUGAAGGUUGGGCCACCGUCAGACUGGCGGCUGCUGGCUGUCCCCACCCUGGGCGGCUGCUGUCUCAGGCUCGGCCUGCCUCCAGCCGUCCGACAGCCUCUCCCAGCUCGCUGGGGACCCCUGUGCACCUUCCCCCUGACAGCACUGCGCCCUCUCUGUGCUGUGUCACACCCUCACCCACCAGCUACGCAUCUGGACAGAAGACACACGAAACCAGCGCCGUGGCAGUUGACGUCCUGUUCCACGAGCACCUGUCUUUCUCCUUCCAUAUUCUGGGCUCCUUGCCUUUGAGUAGGACCCGGCUGACAACAUCCACACUUACUUACUGACAGACAGGCCUCCUCCGGCCGGAACGUGCCGGCCUCAGGGGAUGCAUGUCGACGUGCAUCCCGGAGCCGCCCAUGGGGUCUGGCGCACAGUAGGCACACGACACAGACUUGCUGGAUGGCUGAUGGCUCCGUGAUCUCUCAAGAUGGUGGGAAGCGCUGUGACCACUUACUGAGCGUGCUGCUGUGUUCCAGCAUCUCGACUGUGGCAGAUGACCCUCGAGCAAUGCAGUUUGAACUGCUUGUGUCCACUUACCCGUGGCUUUUUUACAGUACACACUAAAUGCAUUUUCUCUCCCCUGUGACUUCCUUAAAAACGUUUUCUUUUCUCUGGCUGACUGUGUUGUGAGAAUACAGUAUACAAGGCAUACAGUGUACAAAAUACGGAUCAAUCAGCUGCUUAUGGCAUCAGUAAGGCUUCUGGUCAAUGGUAGGCUACUUGUAGUUAAAGUUUGGGGAAUUAAAAGUUCUCUGUGGUCAACCGUGAGGGGUAGGCACCCCUCACCCCUGUGUUGUUCAAGGUCAACUGUGCUUUGUCACCGUCAUGAGGGAAGACUCUCUGUGCUUCUCUGAAACUCUUAUUUAAGUA
This is a long non-coding RNA of Panthera uncia (snow leopard), 2451 nucleotides long. RefSeq lists it as uncharacterized. The record is from RefSeq and is a predicted model, not a curated record. The transcript is spliced from 3 exons. NCBI's taxonomy places the organism in Eukaryota, Metazoa, Chordata, Mammalia, Carnivora, Felidae.